AAAAUAUGGUCAGUAAUAAAUAAUAAAAAAAACUGGUAGAGCAAGAACUUGCGAAUAUAAAACUGAGUUAAGAGAAUUAUUAGGAAAAAGAAACAUAAUAGUAGUACCACUUGCUUUAUCAGGACGGAAAGGAUUAAUGCUCAAAGUCAAGAAAAUGAUUAUUCCAAUGAAAGAGAUAACACUUUGUCAAACUGUUCAGUUAACAAUAACACACAAUCUGAAUACAAUCCUGAUGUGGCAUCAAGCGAUAAAGCAGAAAUGGA
Molecule: long non-coding RNA, 263 nt
Organism: Cyphomyrmex costatus
Lineage: Eukaryota; Metazoa; Arthropoda; Insecta; Hymenoptera; Formicidae
Exons: 3
Source: RefSeq, a predicted model, not a curated record